RNAcentral lists this long non-coding RNA (1501 nucleotides) under Nothobranchius furzeri (turquoise killifish). Its description in RNAcentral is "lncRNA (ENSNFUG00015005445.1)". The record is from RNAcentral. Lineage: Eukaryota; Metazoa; Chordata; Actinopteri; Cyprinodontiformes; Nothobranchiidae.
AAGAGCACAUGACAAAACACCAAAUAACUCCAAACAGGACAGAGGACCUUAAAUCAUGGAAUUUGUUAAUAUCUGGAUAAAGUUGAAAAAAAUCUAUGUUUCUGACAUAAAUAAGCAAACUGGCCAUCUCUCCAACCAGGUGGAAGUCUACGAUAUGAUUAUUUGCAUCCCAUGUAUUGUGUGGUCUUCACUCUUUCUUAGCCCCGGUAGAGACAUUAUAUAUAACUCGUAUUAGAUCUCCUCACUCUUUUGCAGUGUUGGGAAUGUUACUUUUACAAAGUAAUUAGAGUUACUGAUUACUUUGUCAAAAAAGUAACUCAGCUACUAACUGAGUUACAAGAUUAUAAAAGUAACUAAUUACCAAGAAAAAUAACUAUUUAGUUACUUUUUUCAUUAAAGCAUGAAAGAAUGACUACAAUAGUGAAAUAUAAAUGACUAAUGACUGGAACAUAAUAAAAUGUAUGUCCAAAUGUUUUUUAUAAACCUGAAUAAUUUAAAUAAAUAAGCACUUAACAGGAGGAACUACUAAUAGGAGCAUUACACUUAUCUAAACUAUUAAAAGGUCACUUUGUGAUAUUUAACAAGACCCCAAUCAGCUAACAUUUAUAAUUGCAAAUAGAAACACCUGUAAAGGUUCCCGAGCCUUUAAAUGGUCUCUCAGUCUAGUUAAAUUGCAGAAAUAAAUAUAAUUUUGCACAGCAUUUUUAUUUUUCCAGCUUCACAUAAUUGUGUGUUAUUAGUAGCAUUUCUGUUGCUGGUAAUCUAGUAACGGUUAAAUAAAUAAAAAAAUAAAAUCCUUUAAAAUGACACUAGAAGAGGCACAAGCCUGAUGGUGUCAUGAGCCAGGGUGAGUACUCCUGUUCUCAUAACCAUCUGUGAGUCUCUUGCCAGGAGAGGGAGUGGCCCAGCUGUUCCUGAUCAGCAAUCAGCGGGGUGCUUUCCUAUUUAAGGUGGAUGGUGGACACACUUCGACGCCGGAAGAUUGCCUCAGUUUUGGAUUCCUGUCGACCUCAUUGGAUACUGACCUCUACUCCAGGAUUUGGAUAUUCAACACACGGACCAUAUCACCACCCUCCAUAACCCACCUCUCAUCUCACCCAGUGCCCCAUCCACCAGGACGCCCCGCUUCUCUCCACCUCUGCUCCCUCUCCUGCGCUUCCCCCGGCUCUCUACCUCUCCCUCCUCCAGCCAACACAUACACCCACCACAACGCUGAGCUGUUGUUGCAGUUCCAACCACAGACUUAUCUGUGCACCUUAAGUUCCUCCUUAUAAAUAAAUCAUUUUUUCCAUCAGUUUUUGGUCAGUGUUGUAUUCUGCAUGUCUUGGGUUAAGUACCUUCCUCCAAACAUGACACUCCUCUUCAAAGAGCAAAUCUGUUCAGCACAUUCUGACAGACAGACCACCAUUCUUCUGUCAUGAUGCUGUACAGGACAUUUUUAGAGUUUUUCUUUUUAAAGAUAAAUAGGAUUACAUUUAAAUAGCAAUACUUUCACAUUAUC